Octopus sinensis (East Asian common octopus) is the source of this 1462-nucleotide long non-coding RNA. RefSeq lists it as uncharacterized. The transcript is spliced from 2 exons. The record is from RefSeq and is a predicted model, not a curated record. NCBI's taxonomy places the organism in Eukaryota, Metazoa, Mollusca, Cephalopoda, Octopoda, Octopodidae.
UUGCUGCUGCAGCUUGUGGUGGUGUUGGUGGUGUUGUUGGUGGUGUUGUUGUUGUUGGCGGCGGCGGAGGCGGCGGAGGCGGCGAUGUUGGCGACAGACGGCCAUUCGAUCUGGCAACCAGACGGACGAAGCGUGAAGCAUUGCGUGUUCUUGUUGGUGGCGACGACGUUGAGCAGCUUCAGGCAGUCCUUCACCUGGCCGAUGUUGUGAGAGUUAAAGACGAUUUCUAUUUGGCGUACGAACCUGCCACAGCGAGCCGCCAGGAACUUGGACCUCUGGCGACGGACAGCGGGAGUGAGCUCGAGCACGAGACGCGGCCAGAGCGACGGGUGGAAAAGACAGCAUCGCCAACGCUUACAUACCGUACUGGCACGGAUCCUGUCUUCGAGCGAAAGGUUCUAUAUGUGACUGCUUAAUCACACCAUGUGCAAAAGAAGCCUUGGAACUGUCUGAAUUCCAAAGAGGCUGUAUUGUGGGUCACUCUGAAGGUGGACAUAGUGUAAAGUCACAGAAAACUUGCAGUCCUGCCUUCUACAGUUAAUAGAGUGAUUGUGCAAUUCACCAGAGAAGGGAAGGAGUCUACAUCACCUCCUGUCAGAGUCUUCUGACAGGACACUUUGCUUUAUGGAGGAUAAUCCUCAUUGUAAGGCCUCUGACAUAGCAGAACAAGUUAAUAUUAGUCCCAGAAAAGCUGUCAGGUAUCUCCAAAAACUUGGCUACUAUGGCAAAGCAGCAAGAAGGAAGCCACAACUUCAACCAGCUAAUAUCAAGUGUAGAAGAUAUUGGGUCAGUGAGAUGGUGGCAAGGCCACAAGCACUUUGGGACACUGUCAUAUUCUCUGAGUCCAGAUUUGUAUUUCUUGACAGUGGUCAAGUGUGGGUCUUGAGACACUGUGAUCAAGAAUUUGAUGUGAAAAGAUUCCAGCCAACAAUGAAACAGAGCAACUAUUCUGUGAUGGUCUGGGGAGCAGUUAGGAGCAAUGGUCGAUCAGAGCUGGUGGAGUGUGAGGGAAACAUAGACUCAGAUACAUAUGUGUCUAUAUUGCAGAAAGGUCUCCUUCCAAUCUUCCUCAGUGGUGAAGUGAUUAAAGAAGACUAUUUAUGGAAGAUAGAGCACUUUGUCACACGGCUAAAAUGACCCAAGAUUUAUUGGAUGAAAAUGGCAUCAAAAAGCUUCCAUGGCCAAGCUAGUCACCAGAUAUAAACCCUAUUAAACACCUCUGGAACAUAAUGGAUAGGACACUUCAUAAAAAGAACAAGAAAGCAUCUUCACAUCCAAAUCUUUUGAGAUUAUUACAUGACACUUGGCAAGAAAUUUCACAAGAAAAUAUUCAUCAUCUGAUCAGUAGCAUACCUAAUAGGUUCCUGGCAUUGAAAAAUGCAAAGUAUUAAAUAGUCGCAUUAUAACAAUUAAUAGAUAAUUUAAAUGUAUAAUUUCAGGUUUAAAUAAAUUUUAAUGAGUA